GCGACCCCAGUAGGCGGGGCAA
RNAcentral lists this ribosomal RNA (22 nucleotides) under Opuntia robusta (nopal tapon). RNAcentral's name for it is "26S ribosomal RNA". Lineage: Eukaryota; Viridiplantae; Streptophyta; Magnoliopsida; Caryophyllales; Cactaceae. The record is from RNAcentral.